GACCUCCUUCUCGCUUCCGGGGGUUGUGUACGAUGUUGUAGGUAUUGAGAACUAAAGCCUCGUGCAGCUCUGAGGGUUUUCCCCAUAGACAUAUAAAAUGCAUAGACGCCCCAUUGGUCGCUGGAUCCUACAUCAACGGCGCCGCCAUAUUGCUCCGGGCAACUUGCCGUAACUCUCAUAAGUGGACAGAAGAAAAGAUGCCUGACUAUUUUGAGGUUUUACAAACCGUUGCACAAUCCAAACCAGAUCUCGGGGAAUUACCUUUCACAUCCAGUGGCAACCAGGUGGACACAAAUCUCGGGGAAGGCUGAAGAAAGCCUGUCAGUGGACUGUUCUCCGCAUUUCCAUUGAGACCUCGUCUACCUAUUAUAUUAUUAUACACUGAUCAGGCAUAACAUUAUGACCACCUUCCUAAUAUUGUGUUGGUCCCCCUUUUGCUGCCAAAACAGCCCUGACCCAUUGAGGCAUGGAUUUCACUAGACCCCUGAAGGUGUGCUGUGGUACCCCACAAGAGCUGCAGUUUUGGAGAUGCUCUGACCCAGUCGUCUAGCCAUCACAAUUUGGCCCUUGACAAACUCACUCAAACCUUUAUGCUUGCCCAUUUUUCCUGCUUUAACACAUCAACUUUGAGGACAAAAUGUUCACUUGCUGCCUAAUAUAUCCCACCCACUAUCAGGUGCCAUGAUGAAGAGAAUCAGUGUUAUUCACUUAACCUGUCAGUGGUCAUAAUGUUAUACCUAAUCGGUGUAUAUACUAUUUGCUGACUCAUCCGACUGUAUAUAGACAGCAGUAUUUGGACAUAUGAAGUCAAUUCCCUUUUCACUUACCUAUUACAGAUGAUUCGAAGGUGGAAAGCAGUGUAACUACAGCAAUGGUGACUGGACAUCAACAUUAUGGAAUCCAUAUUCCAAAACAGUGCUCAAUUUUCAUGGCUGAAGCACGUGCUUUGCUUUUAGCUUUGGAAUAUGUUGAAAAUGCAUAACACAAUGAUUUUCUACAAUUUUUACAGAUUCCAAAUCAUGCCUUUAAGCAAUGGUCACUUUAAAAAUCAUCCUUUAGUAGACUGCAUUUUAUCUAAAGUGGAUCAUCUAUAGAAUUAGUUGUUCAGUAUUAUCUUCUGCUGGGUUCCAGGCCAUGUUGGACUUUUAUGAAAUGUGUGAGCUGAUGCAGCUGCAAAAGGAAGCUUUUAAUCAGGUAAAUGAAUGUCAAAUUCCUCCCUCAGAUAUCAGAACUAUUAUUAAUCGUUUAUAUAUUCAAUAAAUAAUAAAUUACAUGAAAUCCUCAAACAGAUCUCAAACAGACUUUUAAUCUCACCUAAAACCAGAUUUGAUCAAGUGGUCUUUACCAGAUGUCGUAUAGGUCAUACAAGACUGACUCAUGCAUUUUUGCUUAAAGGUAAAGACCCAACCUUAUGCAUGUUCUGCAAGACUCCCCUUUCUAUUAAACAUAUUCUAUUGGACUGUCCUGGUUUUAAUGCAAGUAGAAAGCUUUUUUUAUGAAGUUAGUUCACUUAAGGACUUAUUUAGUAAGAUUUUUUGAAUUUUUAUGUUAAUUUAAAAAAUCUUGUAUAAUAUUACUUGCUUUGUUUGUUUGUUUGCUUGGUUUUUAUUUUAUUUAUGUGAUAUUUGUAUUUUUGUAAUUGAGUUUUUGCUAUGGUAUGUUAGUAUCUUUAGGUAUUGGUCAACCUCUAUUAUUGCAUCGGCUGUGGCAUUUUGGCUUUGUUUAUGUGGUCCAUGGGACUAUCUAGCAUGUGCCAUAAGGUGAAAUGAUGGUUACGACUGAACUUGAAACCAUAUUUUUCUUCAGGAAACACACCCCAAUUGUGCCAACUACAGGCCUUAAAGGAUUAGUUCACUUUCAUAUGAAAAUUUGCCCAAGCUUUACUCACCCUUAAGCUAUAGGUGUAUAUGACUUUCUCGUUCC
Long non-coding RNA from Megalobrama amblycephala (Wuchang bream), 1923 nucleotides. RefSeq lists it as uncharacterized. The record is from RefSeq and is a predicted model, not a curated record. NCBI's taxonomy places the organism in Eukaryota, Metazoa, Chordata, Actinopteri, Cypriniformes, Xenocyprididae. The transcript is spliced from 3 exons.